This 253-nucleotide ribosomal RNA is filed under the name uncultured bacterium. RNAcentral's name for it is "partial 16S ribosomal RNA". It matches the Rfam family "Bacterial small subunit ribosomal RNA", at positions 524 to 776 of the family's 1533-position model. The record is from RNAcentral.
UACGUAGGUGGCAAGCGUUGUCCGGAUUUACUGGGCGUAAAGGGCGUGCAGGCGGCCCGUUAAGUGCAUGGUGAAAGCUCCCGGCUCAACUGGGAGAGGUCUGUGUAUACUGGCGGGCUUGAGGGGGGUAGAGGAAAGCGGAACUGAUGGUGGAGCGGUGAAAUGCGUUGAUAUCAUCAAGAACACCGGAGGCGAAGGCGGCUUACUGGGGCCUUUCUGACGCUGAGGAACGAAAGCUAGGGGAGCGAACGGG